This 76-nucleotide transfer RNA is filed under the name Nitrososphaeria archaeon. RNAcentral's name for it is "tRNA-Tyr". It matches the Rfam family "tRNA". From Rfam's summary of the family: Transfer RNA (tRNA) molecules are approximately 80 nucleotides in length. Their secondary structure includes four short double-helical elements and three loops (D, anti-codon, and T loops). Lineage: Archaea; Thermoproteati; Nitrososphaerota; Nitrososphaeria. The record is from RNAcentral.
GGGACCGUAGCUCAGCAUGGUUAGAGCGUUCGAGCCGUAAACCGAAAGGUCGUGGGUUCGAAUCCCACCGGUCCCA